GAUGAACGCUAGCGGCAGGCUUAAUACAUGCAAGUCGUGGGGCAGCAGGACUGUAGCAAUACAGUUGCUGGCGACCGGCAAACGGGUGCGGAACACGUACGCAACUUACCCUGAACUGGGGGAUAGCCCGGGGAAACCCGGAUUAAUACCCCGUAAUAUAAUGGAGUGGCAUCACUUUAUUAUUAAAGCUCCGGCGGUUCGGGAUGGGCGUGCGGCUGAUUAGGUAGUUGGUUGAGGUAACGGCUCACCAAGCCUACGAUCAGUAACUGGUGUGAGAGCACGAGCAGUCACACGGGCACUGAGGCACGGGCCCGAAUCCUACGGGAGGCAGCAGUAGGGGAUAUUGGGAAAUGGAGGCAACUCUGACCCAGCCAUGCCGCGUGGAGGAUGAAGGCCCUCUGGGUUGUAAACUUCUUUUAUAGGGGACGAAGCCUGUGUAUUCUUACGCAGUUGACGGUACCCUAGGAAUAAGCACCGGCUAACUCCGUG
RNAcentral lists this ribosomal RNA (489 nucleotides) under uncultured bacterium. RNAcentral's name for it is "partial 16S ribosomal RNA". It matches the Rfam family "Bacterial small subunit ribosomal RNA", at positions 28 to 507 of the family's 1533-position model. The record is from RNAcentral.